AUAGCACAACAUCUCUAAUUCUUGUAAUAUAAUCACUUGUGAAUAUUGCCCUGUGGGAUGAAGAAUGGUGAAACCUCCCUAGUUCUUGUGUUAUGAUGACUUGUGGAUAUUGUCCUUUUGGAUUUAGAUGUAGGAUGUUCUUGUGCUACAUUGACUUGUAAAUAUUGCCUUUUUGGGAUGAAGAAUAGCGCAACAUCUCUAAUUCUUGUAAUAUAAUCACUGGUGAAUAUUGCCCUUUAGGAUGUAGAACGGUGAUACCUCUCUUGUUCUUGUGUUAUAAUGACAUGAGAAUAUUGCCCUUUGGGAUGAAGAAUGGUGAAACCUCUCUUGUUUUUGUGUUAUAAUGACAUGUGAAUAUUGCCCAUUGGGAUGAAGAAUGGUGAAACCUCUCUUGUUCUUGUGUUAUAAUGACAUGUGAAUGUUGCCCUUUGGGAUGUAGGAAGGUGAAACCUCUCUAUUUCUUGUGUUAUGAUGACUUGUAAAUAUUGCCUUUUGGGAUGAAGAAUAGUGAAGCCUCUCUAGUUCUUAUGUUAUGAUUAUCUGUAAAAAAUGUUUUGCCUCUUGGGGUGAAAAAUGGUAAAAUCUUUCAACUUUUUGUGUUCUGUGAUGAUUUGUAACAUUGCCUAUAGGGGCGAAGAAUGGUAAAACCGUUCUAGUUUUUGUGCUAUAAUGACUUGUGAAUAUUGCCUUUUGGGAUGAAGAAUAGCUAAACAUCUCUAAUUCUUGUGUUAUGAUGACUUGUGAAUAUUGCCUUUUGAGAUGUAGGAUGGUUUAAAUCUCUCUUGUUCUUGUGUUAUAAUGACAUGUAAAUAUUGACUUUUGGGCUGUAGGAUAGUAAAAUCUGCCUAGUUCUUGUGUUAUAAAGUCUUGUAAUUAUUGCCUAUAGGAUGUAGGAUAGUAAAAUCUGCCUAGUUCUUUUGUUAUAAUGACUUGUAAAUAUUGCCUUUAGGGAUGAAGAAUAGCGAAACAUCUCUAAUUCUUGUGUUAUAAUGACUUGUGAAUAUUGCCCUUUGGGAUGUAGGAUGGUAAAAUGUGCCCAGUUCUUGUGUUAUAAUGACUUGUAAAUAUUGUCUUUAGGGAUAAAGAUUAGUGAAAUCUUGCUAGUUUUGUGUUAUAAAUCACUUCUGAAUACUGCCUUUUUCGAUGAAGAAUAGUGAAACCUCUCUUGUUCUCGUGUUAUAAUGACAUGUGAAUAUUGCCCUUUGGGAUGAAGAAUGGUGAAACCUCUCUUGUUCUUGUAUUAUAAUGACAUGUGAAUACUGCCCUUUGUGAUGAAGAAUGGUGAAACCUCUCUACUUCUUGUGUUAUGGCUUGUGAAUAUUGCCCUUUGGGAUGAAGAAUGGUGAAACCUCUCUACUUCUUGUGUUAUGGCUUGUGAAUAUUGCCCUUUGGGAUGAAGAAUGGUGAAACCUCUCUUGUUCUUGUGUUAUAAUGACAUGUGAAUAUUGCCCUUUGGGAUGAAGAAUGGUGAAACCUCUCUUGUUCUUGUGUUAUGAUGACUUGUAAAUAUUGCCUUUUGGGAUGAAGAAUAGUGAAGCCUCUCUAGUUCUUAUGUUAUGAUUAUCUGUAAAAAAUGUUUUGCCUCUUGGGGUGAGGAAUGGUAAAAUCUUUCGACUUUUUGUGUUCUGUGAUGAUUUGUAACAUUGCCUAUUGGUGUGAAGAAUGGUAGUUUUUGUGCUAUAAUAACUUGUGAAUAUUGCCUUUUGGGAUGAAGAAUAGGUAAACAUCUCUAAUUCUUGUGUUAUGAUGACUUGUGAAUGUUGCCCUUUGGGAUGUAGGAUGGUUAAAACCUCUCUAGUUCUUGUGUUAUAAUGACAUGUGAAUAUUGACUUUUGGGUUGUAGGAUAGUAAAAUGUGCCUUGUUCUUGUGUUAUAAUGACUUGUGAAUAUUGCCUUUUGGGA
Molecule: long non-coding RNA, 1902 nt
Organism: Haliotis rubra (blacklip abalone)
Lineage: Eukaryota; Metazoa; Mollusca; Gastropoda; Lepetellida; Haliotidae
Exons: 2
Source: RefSeq, a predicted model, not a curated record